This is a long non-coding RNA of Perognathus longimembris pacificus (Pacific pocket mouse), 257 nucleotides long. RefSeq lists it as uncharacterized. The record is from RefSeq and is a predicted model, not a curated record. NCBI's taxonomy places the organism in Eukaryota, Metazoa, Chordata, Mammalia, Rodentia, Heteromyidae. The transcript has 3 exons.
AUUAACUGUAGUGUGGAAGAAUGCAUACUCAGGUAGUAAAGGAAUAAAGCAAGGAAAGUUUAUCACAGAGCCAGAGUAAUGGUUAGCUUUGGGAAACAAACAAAAUUGGGAUUAAAAAGGAGAACACAGGGGGCUUCUAGGGUUGUAUUUGGGCCUGGGUUAUAGUUACGUGUAUGCCAAUUCACUACACUUCCUGCUGUGAACAUUUUAUCUCCCAAUAAAACUGUUUUAGAAUGAAAAAAUAAAUAACAAAAAGG